AUGCCACCGGAUAGAGACAUUGAGUUUUUGAUUGAGUUGUUGCCAGGAACAGGCCCGAUAUCAAAGCGACCAUACAGGAUGCCCGCACAGGAUUUGGUGGAAAUUAAGAAUCAGAUUAAGGAGUUAUUGGAGAAAGGCUAUAUUCGCCCAAGUUCUUCACCUUGGGGAUCACCCGUACUGUUAGUGGAGAAGAAGGAUGGAUCGUUAAGGAUGGUUGUUGAUUACCGUGGAUUGAAUGAAGUAACCAUCAGGAACAAGUACCCACUGCCAAUGAUCAAUGAUCUGUUUGAUCUUUUGCAAGGAGCUAAAGUGUUUUCCAAGAUCGAUUUGCGAUCAGGGUACCAUCAGCUAAAGAUUCGAGAGCAGGACAUACCUAAGACAGCGUUCACCACAAGAUAUGGACUGUAUGUGUAUACUAUUAUGUCAUUUGGACUGACUAACGCACCGGCCUAUUUCAUGAACCUGAUGAACAAAGUGUUUAUGGAGUUUUUGGAUAAGUUCGUCAUGGUGUUCAUUGAUGAUAUUUUGGUUUUCUUGAAGAAUGAAGAGGAACAUAAGGAACAUUUGCGAUUGGUUUUGGAGAAGCUAAGGGAACAUCAGUUAUAUGCCAAGUUCAGCAAAUGUGAGUUUUGGCUAAAGGAAGUUGGAUUUCUUGGACAUGUUAUAUCCGGAGAAGGUAUAGCAGUUGACCCCAUAAAGGUUGAGACCGUAACCAAUUGGGAAGCACCAACGACAGUUGGAGAGAUCCGGAGUUUUCUUGGACUCGCAGGAUACUACCGGAGAUUCAUUGAGAAUUUCUCAAGGAUUGCAAAGCCUAUGACGGAGUUGCUGAAAAAAGAUACCAAGUUCAUAUGGACUGAGGACUGUGAGGCAAGCUUUCAAGAGUUGAAGAAAAGAUUGGUUACCUCACCAGUGCUAAUUUUGCCAGAUCAGACCAAGGAUUAUGAGGUGUAUUGCGACGCUUCACGUCGAGGACUUGGAGUAGUGCUUAUGCAGGAAGGAAGAGUUGUUUCAUAUGUUUCACGACAACUG
This 1032-nucleotide ribosomal RNA is filed under the name Triticum aestivum (bread wheat). RNAcentral describes it as "partial small subunit ribosomal RNA". Lineage: Eukaryota; Viridiplantae; Streptophyta; Magnoliopsida; Poales; Poaceae. The record is from RNAcentral.